Molecule: long non-coding RNA, 1433 nt
Filed under: Malus domestica (apple)
Lineage: Eukaryota; Viridiplantae; Streptophyta; Magnoliopsida; Rosales; Rosaceae
Description: long non-coding RNA (MDOM_LNC012167)
Source: RNAcentral
AGCCUUCCAGAAAUGGUAAAUUGACCAUUUUGUCCUCGAUUUCAAUCAUUAAUAACAUCUUCGUUAUAACUUCGUUUCAUGAAUGGUUUGCGCCUACGCAUUCGUGAGAUCGAGCUCUAUCCAAAUACACUAAGAAAUAUGAUAAAAUAUAUGAGGAUAAAAUACGUCCUCGUAUAAUUCAAUUUAGCCAACUAGGGCAUUUUCAUCUUUUCCACUUCCCAAAAAAAUUUCCACAUAAUCAUAUAUAUUAAAUAUUUCUAGGGUAUUACACGUUGUCUCAAAUAAAUUUUGAAGAUGGCCCAUUACCAUACCAAUGAUCCAAAUGCCCAAUAACUGUCAUGGAUCAAAGAGGGACCUGACUGAAUGAGGCCCAAUGGGACCAUCUGAGUUUCUGGACCCUGAAUAUAUAAUUUUACUCUAAAUCUCAGAAAUAAGGAUUUAAAAUUGAGUGCAAAAAGGCGGACGCACUUUCUUGGUUAAUUGAGUUUCUGAACCAGGAAGAUAUAUAUCUCUACCUAUUUUAAUACGAGAAAAUAUCAUGCAUUGUGCAUCUUGGUUGUACUUAAAAGGUCAAGAAAACCUGACCGAGAAAAAAAACUAAGAAAACAAUAACAGACCAUUGUGCCAUGAGUUGUCGGCUUGAGUCACCUUUUCAUGCUUCUUUGUGUUUUUAUUGUUGUUUUGUUUCAUUAGUUAGCAAUUAUCGUACAUGAAAUUUGAAUUUAAUUCUUCCUCUGAUGAAACGAACAUUGAACACUAGACCAAAUCCAUACGAACUUCCUAUUCAUUUUAGUUGGACAAUCUCUAAAGUGGUUCUUUUGAUAAUCUGGCGCGUUUUGAACUUCGUUAACUUGUCAACUUGUAAAGGCAGAACAUAUCAAUCAAAGGCUGUCACUAAGAACUCUCCACAACCAUGAUCAAUUGAGCACAAUUACCCUCUUUCUUUGUCCACCAAAGAGUCGUUUUUAUGAGCAACAUGGCAGCUCUUUGAUUUUGGGCCAGUUUUGAUGGCACGGCCCACAGAAAACAUCCCAACGUGCUUGCCUUCCUCAUUCAUGGGUAAAUACAACUUUUGGUUUCACCAAAGUCCAUUGCCACGAUACCCAAUUCGCCCUCGUGCGAGUCUGAUCCAUAGACCCCAAUAUUGCAAUAAAAUGAUUUUGUUAUCAUCUUAAGUGGCUCGCGUUUUGUCCACAUGAGAAGAACAAAGUAAUGAAUUCAAAAUUUGAAAAUUUAGCAAAAGAGAUAAUGAGCUAUUUAUUGAAGUUGAUCAAAGUCUCUAGGACUCGGACUGUUUAUAAUAAUAAUAAGGGAAAACUUGAUAUAAGUCCAAUUUAGCCAAUUGUAGGAAUAGUCCAAUUUAUUAAAAUAAGUUCAAUUCUGAAAUUUAAUUAUUUUAUUAUCAAGAAUUAUCUAUUCAAUGACAAUAUUUA